CAGAGUAUAGCUCUUUUAGGAUUUGUUUAGUAGGCUUUCUGAUUCCUACCAGGAUAUCCCCU
Molecule: small nuclear RNA, 62 nt
Filed under: Sorex araneus (European shrew)
Lineage: Eukaryota; Metazoa; Chordata; Mammalia; Eulipotyphla; Soricidae
Description: U7 small nuclear RNA (ENSSARG00000016533.1)
Rfam family: U7 small nuclear RNA
About the family: Animal histone pre-mRNAs are spliced by a different mechanism than nuclear pre-mRNAs and self-splicing introns. This processing involves the U7 snRNP, which contains only one RNA species: U7.
Source: RNAcentral